This 470-nucleotide ribosomal RNA is filed under the name uncultured bacterium. RNAcentral describes it as "bacterial SSU rRNA". It matches the Rfam family "Bacterial small subunit ribosomal RNA", at positions 917 to 1382 of the family's 1533-position model. The record is from RNAcentral.
GGACCCGCACAAGCGGUGGAGCGUGUGGUUUAAUUCGAUGCUAAGCGAAGGACCUUACCAAGGUUUGACAUGCUAAUGGUAGUGAAUUGAAAGAGGAACGACCACACUAUGUGUGGAGUUAGCACAGGUGGUGCACGGCCGUCGUCAGCUCGUGUCGUGAGGUGUUGGGUUAAGUCCCGCAACGAGCGCAACCCCUGCUCUUAGUUACCAGCGGUAAGGCCGGGUACUCUAGGAGGACCGCCGCCGACGAGGCGGAGGAAGGGGGGGAUGAAGUCAGGUAUCGUGCCCCUUAUAUCUUGGGCGACACACGCGCUACAAUGGGUUGGACAGAAGGGACCAAGACAGCGAUGUGGAGGAAAUCCUCAAACCAACCCCCAGUUCAGAUUGCAGGCUGCAACCCGCCUGCAUGAAGCCGGAAUCGCUAGUAAUCGCAGAUCAGCCAAGCUGCGGUGAAUACGUUCCCGGGUCUU